GGUCCCCAGGUGUUGUUGAACUACAACUCCCAUCACCCCUAGCUAGCAAGGCCAGAGCUCAGGGAUGAUGGGAGUUGUAGUUCAACAACAUUUGGGGACCCA
Molecule: microRNA precursor, 102 nt
Filed under: Podarcis lilfordi (Lilford's wall lizard)
Lineage: Eukaryota; Metazoa; Chordata; Lepidosauria; Squamata; Lacertidae
Source: RNAcentral